RNAcentral lists this ribosomal RNA (365 nucleotides) under uncultured Succinivibrio sp. Its description in RNAcentral is "bacterial SSU rRNA". It matches the Rfam family "Bacterial small subunit ribosomal RNA", at positions 355 to 737 of the family's 1533-position model. The record is from RNAcentral. Lineage: Bacteria; Pseudomonadati; Pseudomonadota; Gammaproteobacteria; Aeromonadales; Succinivibrionaceae.
UGGGGAAUAUUGCACAAUGGAGGAAACUCUGAUGCAGCGACGCCGCGUGAGCGAUGAAGUAUUUCGGUAUGUAAAGCUCUAUCAGCAGGGAAGAUAAUGACGGUACCUGAGUAAGAAGCUCCGGCUAACUCCGUGCCAGCAGCCGCGGUAAUACGGAGGGUGCAAGCGUUAAUCGGAAUAACUGGGCGUAAAGGGCAUGCAGGCGGUUCAUCAAGUAGGAUGUGAAAUCCCCGGGCUCAACCUGGGAACAGCAUACUAAACUGGUGGACUAGAGUAUUGCAGGGGGAGACGGAAUUCCAGGUGUAGCGGUGGAAUGCGUAGAUAUCUGGAAGAACACCAAAGGCGAAGGCAGUCUCCUGGGCAAA